This 511-nucleotide ribosomal RNA is filed under the name uncultured bacterium. RNAcentral's name for it is "partial 16S ribosomal RNA". It matches the Rfam family "Bacterial small subunit ribosomal RNA", at positions 28 to 523 of the family's 1533-position model. The record is from RNAcentral.
GACGAACGCUGGCGGCGUGCCUAAUACAUGCAAGUCGAGCGAAUCAAUGGGAGCUUGCUCCCUGAGAUUAGCGGCGGACGGGUGAGUAACACGUGGGUAACCUGCCUGUAAGACUGGGAUAACUUCGGGAAACCGGAGCUAAUACCGGAUACUUUCUUUUCUCGCAUGAGGGAAGAUGGAAAGAUGGUUCUGCUAUCACUUACAGAUGGACCCGCGGCGCAUUAGCUAGUUGGUGAGGUAACGGCUCACCAAGGCAACGAUGCGUAGCCGACCUGGGAGGGUGAGCGGCGACACUGGGACUGAGACACGGCCCAGACUCCUACGGGAGGCAGCAGUAGGGAAUCUUCCGCAAUGGACGAAAGUCUGACGGAGCAACGCCGCGUGAGCGAAGAAGGCCUUCGGGUCGUAAAGCUCUGUUGUUAGGGAAGAACAAGUACGAGAGUAACUGCUCGUACCUUGACGGUACCUAACCAGAAAGCCACGGCUAACUACGUGCCAGCAGCCGCAGUAA